CCUACGGGAGGCAGCAGUGGGGAAUAUUGCGCAAUGGGCGAAAGCCUGACGCAGCGACGCCGCGUGAGGGAUGAAGGUCUUCGGAUCGUAAACCUCUGUCAGCAGGGAAGAACGGUCACUUUGCUAAUCAGCAGUGAAUUGACGGUACCUGCAAAGGAAGCACCGGCUAACUCCGUGCCAGCAGCCGCGGUAAUACGGGGGGUGCGAGCGUUAAUCGGAAUUACUGGGUGUAAAGCGCUCGUAGGCGGGAUGUCAAGUCAAGGGUGAAAUCCCCGCGCUCAACGUGGGAACUGCCUUUGAAACUGGAAAACUGGAGUGUGUGAGAGGAUAGUGGAAUUCCAGGUGUAGGAGUGAA
This 355-nucleotide ribosomal RNA is filed under the name uncultured bacterium. Its description in RNAcentral is "partial 16S ribosomal RNA". It matches the Rfam family "Bacterial small subunit ribosomal RNA", at positions 338 to 685 of the family's 1533-position model. The record is from RNAcentral.